UAAUACGUAGGGUGCAAGCGUUGUCCGGAAUUAUUGGGCGUAAAGAGCUCGUAGGCGGCCUGUCGCGUCGGCUGUGAAAACCCGGGGCUCAACCCCGGGCCUGCAGUCGAUACGGGCAGGCUAGAGUCCGGUAGGGGAGACUGGAAUUCCUGGUGUAGCGGUGAAAUGCGCAGAUAUCAGGAGGAACACCGGUGGCGAAGGCGGGUCUCUGGGCCGGAACUGACGCUAAGGAGCGAAAGCGUGGGGAGCGAACAGGAUUAGAUACCCUGGUAGUCCACGCCGUAAACGUUGGGCGCUAGGUGUGGGGGACCUUCCACGGCCUCCGUGCCGCAGCUAACGCAUUAAGCGCCCCGCCUGGGGAGUACGGCCGCAAGGCUA
This 378-nucleotide ribosomal RNA is filed under the name uncultured bacterium. RNAcentral's name for it is "bacterial SSU rRNA". It matches the Rfam family "Bacterial small subunit ribosomal RNA", at positions 521 to 896 of the family's 1533-position model. The record is from RNAcentral.